RNAcentral lists this ribosomal RNA (1220 nucleotides) under Bacillus pumilus. Its description in RNAcentral is "bacterial SSU rRNA". Lineage: Bacteria; Bacillati; Bacillota; Bacilli; Caryophanales; Bacillaceae. The record is from RNAcentral.
ACUCCGGGAAACCGGAGCUAAUACCGGAUAGUUCCUUGAACCGCAUGGUUCAAGGAUGAAAGACGGUUUCGGCUGUCACUUACAGAUGGACCCGCGGCGCAUUAGCUAGUUGGUGAGGUAACGGCUCACCAAGGCGACGAUGCGUAGCCGACCUGAGAGGGUGAUCGGCCACACUGGGACUGAGACACGGCCCAGACUCCUACGGGAGGCAGCAGUAGGGAAUCUUCCGCAAUGGACGAAAGUCUGACGGAGCAACGCCGCGUGAGUGAUGAAGGUUUUCGGAUCGUAAAGCUCUGUUGUUAGGGAAGAACAAGUGCAAGAGUAACUGCUUGCACCUUGACGGUACCUAACCAGAAAGCCACGGCUAACUACGUGCCAGCAGCCGCGGUAAUACGUAGGUGGCAAGCGUUGUCCGGAAUUAUUGGGCGUAAAGGGCUCGCAGGCGGUUUCUUAAGUCUGAUGUGAAAGCCCCCGGCUCAACCGGGGAGGGUCAUUGGAAACUGGGAAACUUGAGUGCARAAGAGGAGAGUGGAAUUCCACGUGUAGCGGUGAAAUGCGUAGAGAUGUGGAGGAACACCAGUGGCGAAGGCGACUCUCUGGUCUGUAACUGACGCUGAGGAGCGAAAGCGUGGGGAGCGAACAGGAUUAGAUACCCUGGUAGUCCACGCCGUAAACGAUGAGUGCUAAGUGUUAGGGGGUUUCCGCCCCUUAGUGCUGCAGCUAACGCAUUAAGCACUCCGCCUGGGGAGUACGGUCGCAAGACUGAAACUCAAAGGAAUUGACGGGGGCCCGCACAAGCGGUGGAGCAUGUGGUUUAAUUCGAAGCAACGCGAAGAACCUUACCAGGUCUUGACAUCCUCUGACAACCCUAGAGAUAGGGCUUUCCCUUCGGGGACAGAGUGACAGGUGGUGCAUGGUUGUCGUCAGCUCGUGUCGUGAGAUGUUGGGUUAAGUCCCGCAACGAGCGCAACCCUUGAUCUUAGUUGCCAGCAUUCAGUUGGGCACUCUAAGGUGACUGCCGGUGACAAACCGGAGGAAGGUGGGGAUGACGUCAAAUCAUCAUGCCCCUUAUGACCUGGGCUACACACGUGCUACAAUGGACAGAACAAAGGGCUGCGAGACCGCAAGGUUUAGCCAAUCCCACAAAUCUGUUCUCAGUUCGGAUCGCAGUCUGCAACUCGACUGCGUGAAGCGGGAAUCGUUAGUAAUCGCGGAUCAGC